Molecule: ribosomal RNA, 909 nt
Filed under: bacterium enrichment culture clone IsoM-108
Lineage: Bacteria
Description: bacterial SSU rRNA
Rfam family: Bacterial small subunit ribosomal RNA
Source: RNAcentral
AGAGUUUGAUCCUGGCUCAGGAUGAACGUUGGCGGUGUGCCUAAUACAUGCAAGUCGAACGGAGUUAAUAGCAAUAUUGACUUAGUGGCGAACGGGUGAGUAACGCGUUGGUGAUCUGCCUCGAAGUGUGGAAUAACGUUCCGAAAGGAUCGCUAAUACCGCAUGUGCUCUCGAUUUUUAGAAACUUGAGAGUAAAGGAUUUAUUCGCUUCGAGAGGAGCCUGCGUCCCAUCAGCUGGUUGGUAGGGUAACGGCCUACCAAGGCUAUGACGGGUAGGGGACCUGAGAGGGUGGCCCCCCACAAUGGAACUGAAACACGGUCCAUACACCUACGGGUGGCAGCAGUAGGGAAUAUUAGAAAUGGACGAAAGUCUGAUCUAGCAACACCGCGUGUGCGAAGAAGGCCUUCGGGUCGUAAAGCACUUUUUGGAAGGAAUAGGAAGGAAUGUACUUCCAGAAUAAGUCUCGGCUAACUACGUGCCAGCAGCCGCGGUAACACGUAGGAGGCAAACGUUAUCCGGAUUUACUGGGCGUAAAGCGCGUGUAGGUGGUACUGUAAGUAGGGCGUGAAAGCUCCCGGCUCAACUGGGAGAGGCCGUUCUAAACUGCAGAACUAGAGGAUGGUAGAGGGAGGUGGAAUUCCAGGUGUAGCGGUGGAAUGCGCAGAUAUCUGGAGGAACACCAGUGGCGAAGGCGGCCUCCUGGACCAUUCCUGACACUCAGACGCGAAAGCUAGGGUAGCAAACGGGAUUAGAGACCCCGGUAGUCCUAGCCCUAAACGAUGUAGACUAGGCGUCGGUGGUUUAAUCACCAUCGGUGUCCAAGCUAACGCGAUAAGUCUACCGCCUGGGGACUACGGCCGCAAGGUUAAAACUCAAAGGAAUUGACGGGUCCCCGCACAAGCAGCGGA